GAUGAAGAACGUAGCGAAAUGCGAUAAGUAAUGUGAAUUGCAGAAUUCAGUGAAUCAUCGAAUCUUUGAACGCACAUUGCGCCCCCUGGUAUUCCGGGGGGCAUGCCUGUUCGAGCAUCAUUUCAACCCUCAAGCCCCCGGGCUUGGUGUUGGGGAUCGGCGUGCCCUCGCGGCGCGCCGUCCCCUAAAUCUAGUGGCGGUCUCGCUGUAGCUUCCUCUGCGUAGUAGCAACACUCGCACUGGAUCGCAGCGCGGCCACGCCGUUAAACCCCCCACUUCUGAAAGUUUGACCUCGGAUCAGGUAGGAAUACCCGCUGAACUUAAGCAUAUCAAUAAGCGGAGGA
This 344-nucleotide unclassified non-coding RNA is filed under the name soil metagenome. RNAcentral describes it as "partial contains 5.8S ribosomal RNA, internal transcribed spacer 2, and large subunit ribosomal RNA". The stretch from base 1 to 120 matches the Rfam family "5.8S ribosomal RNA", at positions 35 to 154 of the family's 154-position model. The record is from RNAcentral.